GGGCUUGACAUCCCACGAACCUGCCUGAAAGGGCGGGGUGCCCGCAAGGGAGCGUGGAGACAGGUGGUGCAUGGCUGUCGUCAGCUCGUGUCGUGAGAUGUUGGGUUAAGUCCCGCAACGAGCGCAACCCUCACCCCUGGUUGCCACCGGGUAAUGCCGAGCACUCGAGGGGAACUGCCAGCGUCAAGCUGGAGGAAGGCGGGGAUGACGUCAAGUCAUCAUGCCCCUUACGCCCUGGGCUACACACGUGCUACAAUGGCCGGUACAAAGGGACGCAAGACCGCGAGGUGGAGCUAAUCCCAAAAAGCCGGUCUAAGUUCAGAUUGCAGUCUGCAACUCGACUGCAUGAAGGAGGAAUCGCUAGUAAUCGCGCAUCAGCUCGGCGCGGUGAAUACGUUCCCGGGCCUUGUACACACCGCCCGUCACACCACGAAAGCUGUCUGUACUCGAAGUCGCUGAGA
RNAcentral lists this ribosomal RNA (461 nucleotides) under uncultured Methylomirabilota bacterium. Its description in RNAcentral is "bacterial SSU rRNA". It matches the Rfam family "Bacterial small subunit ribosomal RNA", at positions 977 to 1435 of the family's 1533-position model. The record is from RNAcentral. Lineage: Bacteria; Methylomirabilota (SeqCode).